CCUACGGGAGGCUGCAGUGGGGAAUAUUGGACAAUGGGCGGGACCCUGAUCCAGCGACGCCGCGUGAGUGAAGACUUCUUUCGGUAUUUAAAGCUCUAUCAGCAGGGAAGAAAAUGACGUUACCUGACUAAGAAGCCCCGUCUAACUACAGGCCAGCAGCCGCGGUAAUACGUAGGGGGCAAGCGUUAUCCGGAUUUACUGGGUGUAAAGGGAGCGUAGACGGUGCAGCAAGUCUGGUGUGAAAGGUCGGGGCCCAACCCUGGGACUGCAUUUGAUACUGUUGAACUAGAGUACAGGCGAGGUAAGCGGAAUACGUAAUGUAGCGGUGAAAUGCGUAGAUAUUAGGUGGAACACCAGUGGCGAAGGCGGCUUACUGGACUGUAACUGACGUUGAGGCUCGAGAGCGUGGGGAGCAAACAGGAUUAGAUACCCGAGUAGUC
Molecule: ribosomal RNA, 440 nt
Filed under: uncultured bacterium
Lineage: Bacteria
Description: partial 16S ribosomal RNA
Rfam family: Bacterial small subunit ribosomal RNA
Source: RNAcentral